This 404-nucleotide ribosomal RNA is filed under the name uncultured Eubacteriales bacterium. RNAcentral describes it as "uncultured Clostridiales bacterium partial 16S ribosomal RNA". It matches the Rfam family "Bacterial small subunit ribosomal RNA", at positions 355 to 774 of the family's 1533-position model. Lineage: Bacteria; Bacillati; Bacillota; Clostridia; Eubacteriales. The record is from RNAcentral.
UGGGGAAUAUUGCACAAUGGGCGCAAGCCUGAUGCAGCGACGCCGCGUGAAGGAUGAAGGUCUUCGGAUUGUAAACUUCUAUCAGCAGGGAGGAACCAAUGACGGUACCUGACUAAGAAGCCCCGGCUAACUACGUGCCAGCAGCCGCGGUAAUACGUAGGGGGCAAGCGUUAUCCGGAAUUACUGGGUGUAAAGGGUGCGUAGGUGGCAUGGUAAGUCAGAUGUGAAAACUUGGGGCUCAACUUCAAGAUUGCAUCUGAAACUGCUAAGCUAGAGUGCAGGAGAGGAAAGCGGAAUUCCGAGUGUAGCGGUGAAAUGCGUAGAGAUUCGGAGGAACACCAGUAGCGAAGGCGGCUUUCUGGACUGUAACUGACACUGAGGCACGAAAGCGUGGGGAGCGAACA